GCACGCCCUUCGGUUCCUUCGUCUUCCUAAACUCUCUGUGGUGUCUGAGGAAUGCUGCCCACGUCUUCAGUCUCUGCAAGUUCUCUCCACCCUCUUUCUCUGGGGGAUGGCCCCCUCCCCAGGUGCCCUUCCUAACCUCAGACCCUUCUGUCUCACUUUCCUCUGCGGCUUCUCCUCCUGACCACUUCUCAAAGGGUUCUGUUCUCGAAGGCACGGUCUUCAGGGAACAGGAACGCCUCGGGUCUCAGAGCAAGGUCAUGUGCUCCUACGAUUCGACUCGCCCCCGGAUGCCCAGGGCUUCUGAGUGCGUACGACUGACGUCACCCUGCCCCUGACUCCACGCUGCUUUCUCUAACUGUCUGCUGGACGCACCUCUCAGGAUGUCCAAAGGCUUCUCAAAACCGACACGUCCAAAAGGGAGCCCGAACAACAGGAAGACGGCAGAUCAGAGAGCAGCUUGAUGGCAACCCCCCGGCCCCCGCCCCGACCGAACAUCGUGCAGAGGCUUGGACCAGCUGAAAUGACGGAUCGCCCACUUUCUGCGUCAGGGACGGAGAUCCUCGGCGUGCAACAUGUCGAACCCCACUGACUUCGCACUUGUGACCCACGAAGAAAUACGAGCGACAGUCGCACCUGAGUAGAGGACUCUUCAAGCUUCACUCCCAGCACUCUCCUGAUCCUACCCCUUCCCUCUGGAGGCAAUAUAGUCCUUGUCUACAAAUAUUACUUAAGGCCAUCUAUGCUGUGACCUACAAAUUAGCCCAGCUUCAGCGGGGACCCCCUCCAGCAAAAGACUCUAGAAGCUGUCCUAAUUAAAAUCAACAAGCCAUCCCACUAGAGCCCUCAGAGACUCCUCUGGUGAAGAGGCUUCGGCAACCUCCUCUCAUGCUUCCUGGAAAACCCAGAACGUGGGUAAGUUUCUGUCGGUACCUGAGCAAGAAGCCCGCCUCAUUGGUCCUGCAUUCUGCAGUAUUAGAGCGACAAUCACUGGCCUGUUCUGGAAAUAGAGUCUUUCCUGGAUGCUGAGGCCUCCAUUCCCAGCUGCCUAUUAUCACUUUAGUCCUGGAAGCAGCACACAACAAGUGUGGGAAGGUUACCAAGGCCUCCUUGCAACACGAUGGAUCCAAAAAUGGUCCCUGUGGCAUGUCCUACCUGUCAGAUUCGGUGCCCUCCCCUGUCCUCCAUCCAUUGCCGAAAAGCAUGGAGCUGCAGAUGUCACCUCUCCCAGAGAACCCUUGGCUACCUUACUGAUCUUAUUGGCUGCCCUCUUGGCCCCCCUUGGAUCCAUCCUCCACACUGUUGGGAGGGUGAACUAAGAGGAAAACCCUGCCAUUACUGACACGGUGCCCGGCCCCCAUAGGGGUGGACGUGGCAAAGAACGUAACCAAAGUUUCUGAGGUUGUUUUGCAGAACAACAGGAAGACGGCAGAUCAGAGAGCAGCUUGAUGGCAACCCCCGGCCCCCGCACGACUGGACAUCGUGCAGACGCUUGGACCAGCUGAAAUGACAGAUCGCCAACUUUCCGCGUCACAGACAGAUCCACGGCAUGCAACACGUCGAACUCCACUGACUUCGCACUUGUGACCCACGAAGAAA
RNAcentral lists this long non-coding RNA (1596 nucleotides) under Equus asinus (donkey). Its description in RNAcentral is "lncRNA (ENSEASG00005033369.1)". Lineage: Eukaryota; Metazoa; Chordata; Mammalia; Perissodactyla; Equidae. The record is from RNAcentral.